Molecule: ribosomal RNA, 392 nt
Filed under: uncultured bacterium
Lineage: Bacteria
Description: bacterial SSU rRNA
Rfam family: Bacterial small subunit ribosomal RNA
Source: RNAcentral
GUAACGCGUAGGCAACCUGCCCUUUGCAGAGGGAUAGCCUCGGGAAACCGGGAGUUAAAAACCUCAUAAUGCGCGACUGGGACAUCCCAGACGCGCCAAAGAUUUAUCGGCAAGGGAUGGGCCUGCGUCUGAUUAGUUAGUUGUGGGGUAACGGCCUACCAAGGCAGCGAUCAGUAGCCGACCUGAGAGGGUGAUCGGCCACAUUGGAACUGAGACACGGUCCAAACUCCUACGGGAGGCAGCAGUGGGGAAUAUUGCACAAUGGGCGAAAGCCUUGAUGCAGCAACGCCGCGUGAAGGAUGAAGGCCCUUGGGUCGUAAACUUCUGUUCUAAGGGAAGAUAAUGACGGUACCUUAGGAGCAAGUCCCGGCUAACUACGUGCCAGCAGCUGC